CUUCAACUCAUUUUACUGUUAAUGGUCACUUCCGUUCUGUAUCACGCAAAGUUCUGAUUAAUACAACGAUGAAAAUGUCUUCAGACAGUUUCUGUAAAAAAUGAUGCCGUGGUGAUUUCUUUGCGUUUGGAGACUUAAAUGAAGGGUGUAUUAGCCUCUACUUUUUAAUUUAAAUACAAUAUCUUACUCACAAGUCCCACAACUAAGUGAGUAUUUAAAAGCUACAUCUGUAAUGAUUUGGUGGAAUCUUUUAGUGAGAUUGCAGCAGAGAGAACUGGGCUCAGAGUUUGAGGCUCAACGGCACAUAAAGUAGUUUAAUAUGUAGAAAAUACUAUUGUACAUUGUACCAGUUUCUACCAGUCAGUCAAAAUGUUAAUAUCAUUUAUAACAGCAGCAUGUAAAGCUCAUUUAUCAUCAGACCUGAAGUCCUGAAACGUUGAUAAUUAAUAUCAAGUGUCUGAAAAGCGCCUUAGAAGCACUCGCGGUGCACGAUGCUGUGAGCGGCCUCGUCCUCCUGCUUGCUGAUCCACAUCUGCUGGAAGGUGGAGAAGGAGCCGCCGAUCCAGACGGAGUAUUUACGCUCAGGAGGGACGACGAUCUGCAGCAGAGGAGGAGGAGCUAAUAAUAAUAAUAAUAAUAAUAAUAAUAAUACCACAUCACAACAGACACAAGGACGAUAAGAACAACCAGUUAUCACUGAUAAUAUAUUCAGCUUGUGAAACAUAUUAUUUUAUGAUGUGAAAAACUAAGCAGUGAAUAUUUAUCAUUUACUAUAAAUGACAAAUGCAGACGUCCAUUUAAGAGCUGCUCUGCAGUUUGAUUUGAAGAUGAGACGGGAGGUCAGUCGUCCAUCUUUAAGCAGGAGGAAGUGUAAAUAUAAAUACACAAUAUCACAUUGGGGGAAGGACAUAGGAGACAUGUCCCCUGCACCUUUUAAAAAACCCGUUUUGGUCCCCUGCUGUUUUUACCGUCCAAAAACAAUGUUACGCUACGGUAAACAGAGACUGGUCAAGCACUAGGACCCAGCGGAAAAAGGGCCGCUCAAGCUGAAGCCUGUUUCCCUCAGUUUAGACCAGUGUUCAUUUUGGCAGCUAUUUCUGAUUUAGUCUUAGGACGAAAAAUGCAUUAGUUUUAGUCACAUUUAGUCAUUUUAAUCCUUAGUUUUAGUCGAAAACUAGACUAAUGUAAUUAGUUUUAGUCUCAUUUAACAGCCAUAUUAAACUCCUUUUCUUCCCUUCUCAGGCCCAGGGACGCCCUGCGUUGUGUCUACAGCUGCAUAAUACUUGGUUGUCCAUCAGAUGUCCCUCCCAUAGGACAGGCCUAUAGAUGUCCCUCCCAUAGGACAGGCCUAUAGAUGUCCCUCCCAUAGGACAGGCCUAUAGAUGUCCCUCCCAUAGGACAGGCCUAUAGAUGUCCCUCCCAUAGGACAGGUCUAUAGAUGUCCCUCCUAGGACAGGUCUAUAGAUGUCCCUCCUAGGACAGGUCUAUAGCAGGUCGGCAAACGUUUUGACUCGCGGCCACAGUGGGUUGUAAAAUGUGACGAAGAACAAACGGU
This is a long non-coding RNA of Gasterosteus aculeatus aculeatus (three-spined stickleback), 1555 nucleotides long. The record is from Ensembl. NCBI's taxonomy places the organism in Eukaryota, Metazoa, Chordata, Actinopteri, Perciformes, Gasterosteidae.